GCAGAAUCCAUUUUUUGAAAAUAUGAAAUGUCUUUCUCAGGCUCGAGUGAUUUUCCUUCCAGCUAUUACAGUUGAAGUUGCUAGAUGUUUUUAGCAUGGACAGAUUGAUGAAGAAGAUACAGCAGAAAAAAUUACAUCCAGUCUUCCUAGUGAGAUCACAAAAUCAUUUGCUGCUGUCAGAAGAGCAACCAAGCUCCUCCCUCCAUCCCUCCCCCAGGCAUCCCAAUACAAAAGAAAACUUUCUGCAUGGGAGCUAGCUAGGUAGAUAGGAUGUUCUUUUGGACGGGGUGGUGAAUGUGAGAAAAUGAAGACUUUCUAUCUCUUUGAAGAUACAAGCUAACCAAAAAUAGCUUUAAGAAACCAUUGUGAAGGUGUUUUAUUUUGAAGGGGAU
Athene cunicularia (burrowing owl) is the source of this 392-nucleotide long non-coding RNA. RefSeq lists it as uncharacterized. The transcript has 3 exons. Lineage: Eukaryota; Metazoa; Chordata; Aves; Strigiformes; Strigidae. The record is from RefSeq and is a predicted model, not a curated record.